AACAUAUUAAUAUUUUUAGGACGUGUGUUUUAAGGAUGUCAAUAUAAUCACCCACCUUGAAACAGUGGUUAAUUCUUAUGAGAAAGGGUAUUGGUGGGGUUAGUGGCUGUGAGCAAAGGUACUUCAAAUAGUGUUCGUAAUGCUUUUAUUUAUUUAUUUAUUUUAUUAUUAUUAUUAUUUUGGCUGCACCUGUGGCAUGUGGAAGUUCCCAGUCCAGAGAUAUGACUUGUGCUACAGCAGUGACCCGAGCUAGAGCAGUGAUGAUGCUUGAUCCCUAACCUCUUGAGCCACCAGGGAACUCCAUGCCUUCAUUUUUUUUUUUACAAGAGCUAAGUAUUUAUGUAUGCCUUAGCUAAUUAAAAUGUUAACUUGUGUUAAUGAUCAAAAUGAUAAAAUACAAAAGUGCACACUCCUUGUACAAGAAAAAGGUGAACAACGCAAAAGUACAGGAUGGAUCCUGGACUUUUUCAAAGACCUCAUUCCAUUUAUUUAUUUAUCUAUCUAUUUUUUUGUCUCAACUUUUGUCAUUUGUCUUUUGAGGGCCACACCGCAGCACAUGGAGGUUCCCAGGCUAGGGGUCCAAUUGGAUCUGUAGCCGCCAGCCUAUGCUAGGGCCACAGUAAUGCCCGAUCCAAGCUGGGUCUGUGACAUACACCACAGCUCACAGCAAUGCUGGAUCCUUAACCCGCUGAGCAAGGCCAGGGAUCAGACCUGCAACGUUAUGGUUCCUAGUUGGAUUUGUUUCUGCUGCACCAUGACUGGAACUCCCCCAUUUAUUUAUUUUCUAGCCUGCUUUUUUUAGCCGGUCUCAUUCCCUAGGCAUAAGAGCCAGCCCACAGCUCUCCUAGCCAAUGAUUCUCAUUUGCCUCCUUCAGGGACACUCUUCUCUCUACCUUUCACUGCUAAGCUUCUGAAAAGAAUACUUUACUGCUUGUCUCCAGCUCAUGUCUCACUGACUUAUGAAAGCUCCCCAAAAUCUUUUCUCAGUAAUGUCUAGGGCAUUUUCUAAUGCUUCAGAAAUUAGUCUUUUAAGGAGUUCCCAUUGUGGCUCAGUGGUUAACGAAUCUGACUAGAAACCAUGAGGUUGUGGGUUCAGUCCCUGGACUUGCUCAGUGGGUUAAGGAUCUGGUAUUGCCAUGAGCUGUGUUGUAGGUCACAGACGUGGCUCAGAUCCCAUGUUGCUGUGGCUGUGGCACAGGCUGGCAGCUGUAGUUCCGAUUGGACCCCUAGCCUGGGAAACUCCAUAUGCCAAAAAGGCAAAAAGACAAAAAAAAAAAUAGUCUUUUAAUUAAAGUCUCCAUAGCAUCUGGUCAGUGUUUUUCACAUCUUCAUUCUUUAGAAUUCUCUCCAUCAUCUUUCUUCUGGAUUCCCUUCCAAACAUAAGAGCCUUCUUUCUCAGCUUUCUCUGUGAUUUCUUCGGACCACUUCCUAAUGGGUAUGUUCUCUCAGGUACCAUGGUCCGCUAACUGUCUGUUCACUGGCCCUGUGGUCUCAGCGGGAAACUCACCCCCUUCCCAUGAUUUGACGUUCACCUGAAUGCCACUGACUUCUGAAUCCCUACCUCCCACUUCAUCCUUCUCCUGACUCCACACUGAUUUAUCACACUGUCUGCUGGGCAAGUUUAUCGGGAUGUGCGUAGACUUCUGAAAAUCAACAUGUCCAAAUCUGAGCUCGGUAUCUUCCCUUAGAACUUUCUUGAGAAAACGUGCUUGUCAUCCCCACCCAGACCACUCUCUAGCCACUUGUGCCUUCUUGCAAAUUCAAAUAGACUCUUAUGCAAAUAGCUUCCAGGCUAAUCUUGGCGGGAUCAUGCCUUCCAAAAAGUGCAGAUCAGAAAUGUUCAAUCUGCCUCCAAUUCACAUCUCAGGGCAGGGGGCGGGGGUGGGGGGGUGGAUUUACACCCAAAAUUUAUAGGGAGGGCCAAACACUAAACAGAUGAGCAACACAGCAGGUAUUAGUCACAUAUAUCUAUAGCCACAGGGAGAAGGACAUGAUGACACCAUGCAGGGCCAAAGACAGGUUGCCCUUGGGCCCAGUGUGAACAAGCAGAGACUGGAAGGGGCAGAUUUUGGAGUCCAAGAGGGUGGAGAAUGUGGAGGUGACUCUAGGUCCCGGGAGGAGGGUGCAGUUGGCUUGUUUGAAUCAUUUCCCAGGCUGGGAGGGAAUGGGAGGCGGCUACCUGUGGAUAAGUUUUGCCUGGUUGUGGGGUGAGGAGGAGAGUUGGACUAGGGGCCCUUACCUGUGAGAGCAGAAGGGGGGGAGUUUGCAAUUAGGCCAUUUGAAGCCCUCUGAUUUUACCAGAUGGCCAGGCCAUACUUACUAUUGAAUCUUGAUUUCCGGGCUUAUAACCCAAUGGACUCUUUGAUAACUUGACAUCAAUUUAAACAUUGGUGAUGAUGGAGACUUUUAGGCAGGAGUGAAGUCCUUUGCUAGGAGGUGAAGUUGGCACUGGACUGAGAGGGAAAGGUGGUCUGCAACAACAUACAUUGUAUGAAACCUAAUUGAAGUUCACUCAGUUGAUUCCAAUGGGUCUGGACGAGGGGUGACAUCCUCUAGCUCCUGGCCAUUGACUGAUGAGGUGGGAGGCCAUUCCCACUUACAGGUGGGAUAUUCCAGAGGGCCCAGGUUCAGCUCCAUCCUCUAGCAAGGAGGCCUUAACUACCAUAUCAAGCUUGUGGGAUGUGGCUUCCAGGACUAAAGGAAUCCUGGGCAGCUGGGUAUUCAAAACUCAAGGUCUGUGAGAGGCUCUAUAUCCAGCAAAGCCAAUGCAUGGCUGGCUAGCAAUUCCUGCUCUGAUGGUAUGUGAUGCAGGGCCAAGGAGGGCAGCUUCUUGCAUCAGAAGCCCACUGACAACUUAUGGACAUCACAGGUGGUCCAGAGACCCCAGGAAGCAGGAAAGAAAGCUGCUAAAAUCUCUUCACAGAAGCAGUCUCUGAAGGCACUAAGGGGAGCCCCUGUUGAUUUCAAUUUAGACAGAUUCUAGAGCCUUUUAUUGGAGUGGGCCCACCCAAGGUGGGCUACUUUAAAAGUAACAGCAUAGGAGUUUCUCCUUGUGGCUCAGUGGGCUAUGAAGCUGACAUGGUCUCUCUGAGGAUGCUGGUUCAAUCCCUGGCUUCAUUCUGUGGGUUAAGUUUCUAGUGUUGCCACAAGCUGUGGCAUAGGUCACAGAUGCAGCUGGGAACUGGUGUUGCUGUGGCCUGCAGUGUCGUUCUGAUUCAGCCCCUAUCCUGGGAAUGUUGAUAUCCUGUAAGAGCAGCUGCAAAUGAAAUAAAAUUUAAAAAUAAAAUAAAAAUGAAAGUAACAGCAUAAAUGGGCUUAGGUAAAAUUUGUCAGUGAGGCAUAUACUUCCUCUAGAACCCAAAAAGGACUAAAACACGUUGGGUGCAUGUGUCAUUAACAGGUGUGUAAAACAAAUAUCACCAAAGGAGGAUGUCAUCAAGGUACUGUUGUACCUGUACUGCUGAUAUGGAGAAAGGAAGAUGCAGUUAGGAUCCUGUCUGCAAAGAUUGCAUGUGAUAGCAGAGCUGUUUAGGUACCUGUGGGUGACAAGGUAAAAAUGUACUGGGCCCCUUUGGGGAUGGAGGCAAACUGGAUGAGGGGAUGUUGAAGCAGGCAUGAAUGGAAUCUAUUAGCCAAAUCACUGCAAAAUGUUUACCAUAUUUAAAUUUAGUCAGAUCCCAUGUAUUUUAAGGGUAUCCAGGAUUAGUUUUAAUCAGGAAUGCUAAGACAGAAAGAUACCAAUAUGACUGCCUGGAGAAAAAAGCUUUUUUACACCCCCAGAUCCUGAGAAACAAGAGGCAGAGCACACCAGGGAGGGCCACAUGGGGAAGCACCAGGGACUCAGGAGGCAGAGGGAGGAGUAAGGGGCAGGGGUGGGCAAGAGGCUUUCUUGUGGUUUCCAUGGGAAGAAAUGGGUGAGGUUGUCUAAGCAGGCUUAGGAUGGGCUAGUUUGAAUAUUUCAGUGGGCUCUGGGACAUAGUGGUGUCCCUAGCUGAUUGGUGCCCAGCUCUGGGGUGAUUGCUUAUGGCAGAGCGAUGGCGGCCCGGAUUGUAAGAGCCCCGUAGAGGAGGUAGUUGGGGAUGUGAGCUCUGGAUUUGUACACUCACAGGUGGAUUAUUUACAACCUUUAGGAAUUAGCUGACCCUGGCAGGUAUAGUUCCUCUAAGAGGAGCAAGGACUCUGGUGUCAAAGCAUUAAAUACAGAAAAGAGAAACUAUAGUUAUUACAGUAGGUAAAAUCAUAAAUUGAUACCAGGGAUUAAGUCCAUGAAGGUUUGCCAAAAGUUGCACUUUGGUAGAUGUUAAAAUUAGUCCAGAACCCACGUUACAGAAGCCCCAAAGCCAUCAUCAGCUCCCAUUAUCUUUUUGCCAUAUCAUUUGUUUUCAUAAAUUUUGGAUUGCCAAUUGGGUUAAAUUGUGAGAUUUUGUUUAAUGAAAAUCGCUGUUCCCUCUGCCUGUAUGUAGAUUUCUUUUUCCUUUUCAUUUUCAUUCAUUUUCAGGGGUAGGUUGUUAUCUGAGAUCCUUAGGGGUGGGAGCUGUCUUUUUACCUUGCUCACAUUUAUCAGUAUUUUUUCCUACAGAGUCACAGAUCAGCAUGAUCAAGAUUUGGGUCUCUGUCACAGCAAUGGUUUUAUGGUUUAGAGACCCAAGACUUAAGUCAGGUUUGAAUUAACACCUCCACUGUGACACAGGGUGUCAUGUAUGUUGGUCCCCACAACCCUGAUGAUCAGGAUUUUGACCACAGGGCAGCAGGGACCCAGUGGAAGAGCACAGGGCACAGAGCCCCAAAGUUGAUGGAUCCAAACCAUCUUCUGCUACAGCCCUACCUCUUCCCUGAUGUAGGCUGCUUCUCCCACCCCCUUCUCUCUGUACUCAUUCCCUCAGGACAUUUUUUUUUUUUGGUCUCUUUUCUAGGGCCGCACCCAUGGCAUAUGGAGGUUCCCAGACUAGG
This 4950-nucleotide long non-coding RNA is filed under the name Sus scrofa (pig). RNAcentral's name for it is "lncRNA (ENSSSCG00005005328.1)". Lineage: Eukaryota; Metazoa; Chordata; Mammalia; Artiodactyla; Suidae. The record is from RNAcentral.